Molecule: ribosomal RNA, 501 nt
Filed under: uncultured bacterium
Lineage: Bacteria
Description: bacterial SSU rRNA
Rfam family: Bacterial small subunit ribosomal RNA
Source: RNAcentral
AGUUUGAUCCUGGCUCAGGAUGAACGCUAGCGGCAGGCCUAAUACAUGCAAGCCGAAACGGCAAGUCUGAUAGCAAUAUUAGACCUAGAGUGGCGUAAGGGUGCGUAACACGUAUGCAAUCUACCGCAACAGGAGGAUAGCUCGGGGAAACUCGAAUUAACCCUCCAUAAGAUCUUAGACCGGCAUCGGUUAGAGAUUAAAUCUGAGGUGGUAUAGGAUGGGCAUGCGUCUGAUUAGUUAGUUGGCGGGGUAAUGGCCCACCAAGACGAUGAUCAGUAGGGGUUCUGAGAGGAAGAUCCCCCACACUGGCACUGAGAUACGGGCCAGACUCCUACGGGAGGCAGCAGUAGGGAAUAUUGGUCAAUGGAUGCAAGUCUGAACCAGCCAUGCCGCGUGCAGGAAGAAGGCCUUCUGGGUUGUAAACUGCUUUUGCCAGGGGAUAAAAUUUCCAUGCGUGGAAAACUGAAGGUACCUGGUGAAUAAGCCACGGCUAACUACGUG